AUUGAACGCUGGCGGCAGGCCUAACACAUGCAAGUCGAACGAGUGGCGGACGGGUGAGUAAUGUCUGGGAAACUGCCUGAUGGAGGGGGAUAACUACUGGAAACGGUAGCUAAUACCGCAUACCCUCAGAUGUGCCCAGAUGGGAUUCGCUUGUUGGUGGGGUAACGGCUCACCAAGGCGACGAUCCCUAGCUGGUCUGCGAGGAGGACCAGCCACACUGUAACUGAGACACGGUCCAGACUCCUACGGGCGGCAGCAGUGGGGAUUAUUGCACAAUGCGCGCAAGCCUGAUGCAGCCAUGCCGCGUGUAUUAAGAAGGCCUUCGGGUUGUAUAGUACUUUCAGCGGUGAGGCGUUACCCGCAGAAGAAGCACCGGCGAACUCCGUGCCAGCAGCCGCGGUAAUUC
RNAcentral lists this ribosomal RNA (406 nucleotides) under uncultured bacterium. RNAcentral's name for it is "partial 16S ribosomal RNA". It matches the Rfam family "Bacterial small subunit ribosomal RNA", at positions 30 to 526 of the family's 1533-position model. The record is from RNAcentral.